UGGGGAAUAUUGCACAAUGGGCGCAAGCCUGAUGCAGCGACGCCGCGUGGGGGAUGACGGCCUUCGGGUUGUAAACCUCUUUCACCAUCGACGAAGGUCCGGGUUUUCUCGGAUUGACGGUAGGUGGAGAAGAAGCACCGGCCAACUACGUGCCAGCAGCCGCGGUAAUACGUAGGGGGCGAGCGUUGUCCGGAAUUACUGGGCGUAAAGAGCUCGUAGGUGGUUUGUCGCGUUGUUCGUGAAAUCUCACGGCUUAACUGUGAGCGUGCGGGCGAUACGGGCAGACUAGAGUACUGCAGGGGAGACUGGAAUUCCUGGUGUAGCGGUGGAAUGCGCAGAUAUCAGGAGGAACACCGGUGGCGAAGGCGGGUCUCUGGGCAGUAACUGACGCUGAGGAGCGAAAGCGUGGGGAGCGAACA
This 419-nucleotide ribosomal RNA is filed under the name uncultured bacterium. RNAcentral's name for it is "partial 16S ribosomal RNA". It matches the Rfam family "Bacterial small subunit ribosomal RNA", at positions 355 to 774 of the family's 1533-position model. The record is from RNAcentral.